This 107-nucleotide ribosomal RNA is filed under the name Pteropus alecto (black flying fox). RNAcentral also lists the same sequence under 1 other name. Lineage: Eukaryota; Metazoa; Chordata; Mammalia; Chiroptera; Pteropodidae. The record is from RNAcentral.
GUCUACAGCCAUGCUACCCUGAACAAGCCCAAUCCCAUCUGAUCUCAGAAGCUAAGCAGAGUCGGGCCUGGUUAGUACUUGGAUGGGAAGACCAGGUGCGGUAGGAG